UAACACAUGCAAGUCGAACGGUUAAACCGCCCUCGGGCGGACAUACAGUGGCGAACGGGUGAGUAACACGUGACCAACCUGCCCCGCGCUCCGGGACAACCGCUGGAAACGGCGGCUAAUACCGGAUACUCCGCGGCCCCCGCAUGGGGGCGGCGGGAAAGCCCCGACGGCGCGGGAUGGGGUCGCGGCCCAUUAGGUAGUAGGCGGGGUAGAGGCCCACCUAGCCGACGAUGGGUAGCCGGACUGAGAGGUCGAUCGGCCACAUUGGGACUGAGAUACGGCCCAGACUCCUACGGGAGGCAGCAGUGGGGAAUUUUGCGCAAUGGGGGAAACCCUGACGCAGCAACGCCGCGUGCGGGACGAAGGCCCUCGGGUCGUAAACCGCUUUCAGCAGGGAAGACCACGACGGUACCUGCAGAAGAAGCUCCGGCUAACUACGUGCCAGCAGCCGCGGUAAUACGUAGGGGGCGAGCGUUAUCCGGAUUCAUUGGGCGUAAAGCGCGCGUAGGCGGCCGCCUAAGCGGAACCUCUAACCCCGGGGCUCAACCUCGGGCCGGGUUCCGGACUGGGCGGCUCGAGUGCGGUAGAGGAGAGCGGAAUUCCCGGUGUAGCGGUGGAAUGCGCAGAUAUCGGGAAGAACACCGAUGGCGAAGGCAGCUCUCUGGGCCGUCACUGACGCUGAGGCGCGAAAGCUGGGGGAGCGAACAGGAUUAGAUACCCUGGUAGUCCCAGCCGUAAACGAUGGAUACUAGGUGUGGGGGGAUCCCCCCUCCGUGCCGCAGCCAACGCAUUAAGUAUCCCGCCUGGGGAGUACGGCCGCAAGGCUAAAACUCAAAGGAAUUGACGGGGGCCCGCACAAGCAGCGGAGCAUGUGGCUUAAUUCGAAGCAACGCGAAGAACCUUACCAGGGCUUGACAUGCGCCUGAAGCCGCGGAGACGCGGUGGCCGAGAGGAGGGCGCGCAGGUGGUGCAUGGCUGUCGUCAGCUCGUGUCGUGAGAUGUUGGGUUAAGUCCCGCAACGAGCGCAACCCCCGUCCCGUGUUGCCAGCAUUAGGUUGGGGACUCGCGGGAGACUGCCGGCGUCAAGCCGGAGGAAGGUGGGGACGACGUCAAGUCAUCAUGCCCCUUAUGCCCUGGGCUGCACACGUGCUACAAUGGCCGGUACAGAGGGUUGCCACCCCGCGAGGGGGAGCGGAUCCCGGAAAGCCGGCCCCAGUUCGGAUCGCAGGCUGCAACCCGCCUGCGUGAAGCCGGAGUUGCUAGUAAUAGCGGAUCAGCACGCCGCGGUGAAUACGUUCCCGGGCCGUGCACACACCAACCGUCAAG
RNAcentral lists this ribosomal RNA (1326 nucleotides) under uncultured bacterium. RNAcentral describes it as "bacterial SSU rRNA". It matches the Rfam family "Bacterial small subunit ribosomal RNA", at positions 49 to 1401 of the family's 1533-position model. The record is from RNAcentral.